GUGUGUGUGGUGUAAAGAUGGGUGUAUGUGUGUAGAGUGUGUGUAGUGUGUGUGUGUGGUGUGGUGUAAAGAUGUGUGUGUUUGUGUGUGUUUGUGUGUGUGUGUAGUGUAAAGAUGGGUGUAUGUGUGUAGAGUGUGUGUAGUGUGUGUGUGUGGUGUGGUGUAAAGAUGGGUGUGUUUGUGUGUGUGUGUGGUGUAAAGAUGGGUGUAUGUGUGUAGAGCAGUGUUUCUCAAGCCGUCUGGCUUCAUCGGGGGUGCCGUCAAAAUAUUGCGCCUCACGUGCAUAUUUCCUUUCCAGAGUCAGCUCGUGUCGCGGUGUGUCCCAAUUCACAGGCAGCAUACUCUGAAGGAUGCGACCCACAGAGGCGGUGUAUUACUGCGCAGCUGUGACGCAAUCUGUCUUCGAAUACAGCCUCUGAAGGAUGCAGCCCCUAAAUUGGGACACACUGUAAAGUUUUUGUCCCCCACGCGAUGCACGCGCUAUUUUAUUUCAUAUUCCGCCAGCAACACCCCCCCCCGGGGUGCCUUGACAUCUCGCAUAUAUUUAAAGGGUGUCGUGAUAGAAAAAAGGUUGAGAAACGCUGGUGUACAGAGUGUGUAGUGUGUGUGUGUAGUGUAAAGAUGGGUGUAGUGUGUGUGUGUAGUGUGAAGAUGGGUGUAUGUGUGUGUGUAAUGUGUGUGUGUAGUGUGUGUGUGGUGUAAAGAUGGGUGUAUGUGUGUAGUGUGUGUGUGUGUGUAGUGUAAAGAUGGGUGUAUGUGUGUGUGUAGUGUAAUGAUGGGUGUAUGUGUGUGUGUGUGUGUGUAGUGUGUGUGUGUGUGUAGUGUAAAGAUGGGUGUAUGUGUGUGUGUAGUGUAAUGAUGGGUGUAUGUGUGUGUGUGUGUGUAGUGUGUGUGUGUAGUGUAAAGAUGGGUGUAUCUGUGUAGUGUGUGUGUGUGUUGUAAAGAUGGGUGUGUGUGUGUAGUGUGUGUGUGUGUAGUGUAAAUAUGGGUGUAUGUGUGUAGAGUGUGUGUAGUGUAAAGAUGGGUGUAUGUGUGUAGAGUGUGUGUAGUGUGUGUGUGGUGUAAAGAUGGGUGUAUGUGUGUAGAGUGUGUGUAGUGUGUGUGUGUGGUGUAAAGAUGGGUGUAUGUGUGUAGAGAGUGUGUAGUGUGUGUGUGUAGUGUAAAGAUGGGUGUAGUGUGUGUGUGUGUGUAGUGUGAAGAUGGGUGUAUGUGUGUAGUGUGUGUGUGUGUGUGUGUGUGUGGUGUAAAGAUGGGUGUAUGUGUGUAGUGUGUGUGUGUGUAGUGUAAAGAUGGGUGUAUGUGUGUGUGUAGUGUAACGAUGGGUGUAUGUGUGUGUAGUGUGUGUGUGUGUGUAGUGUAAAUAUGGGUGUACGUGUGUAAAUGUGUGUAUGUAGUGUAACGAUGGGUGUAUGUGUGUAGAGUUUGUGUAAGUGUGUGUGUGUGUGUGUGUGUGUGUAGAGUGUGUGUGUGUGUGUGUAGAGUGUGUCUGUGUAGAGCGUGUGUGUGUGUUUGUGUAGAGUGUUGUGUUUGAGUGUGUUUGAGUGUGUGUAGUUUAAAGAUAGGUGUAUGUGUGUAGAGUGUGUGUAGUGUAAAGAUGGGUGUAUGUGUGUAGAGUGUGUGUAGUGUGUGUGUGUGGUGUAAAGAUGGGUGUAUGUGUGUAGAGUGUGUGUAGUGUGUGUGUGUGGUGUAAAGAUGGGUGUAUGUGUGUAGAGAGUGUGUAGUGUGUGUGUGUAGUGUAAAGAUGGGUGUAUGUGUGUGUGGUGUAAAGAUGGGUGUAUGUGUGUAGAGAGUGUGUAGUGUGUGUGUGUAGUGUAAAAAUGGGUGUAGUGUGUGUGUGUGUGUAGUGUGAAGAUGGGUGUAUGUGUGUGUAGUGUGUGUGUGUGUGUUGUGUGUGUGUGUGUGUAGUGUAAAGAUGGGUGUAUGUGUGUGUGUGUAGUGUAACGAUGGGUGUAUGUGUGUAGUGUGUGUGUAGUGUGAAGAUGGGUGUAUGUGUGUGUGUAGUGUGUGUUGUAAAGAUGGGUGUAUGUGUGUAGAGAGUGUGUAGUGUGUGUGUGUAGUGUAAAGAUGGGUGUAGUGUGUGUGUGUGUGUAGUGUAAAGAUGGGUGUAUGUGUGUAGAGUGUGUGUAGUGUGUGUGUGUGGUGUAAAGAUGGGUGUAUGUGUGUGUGUAGUGUAACGAUGGGUGUAUGUGUGUAGAGAGUGUGUAGUGUGUGUGUGUAGUGUAAAGAUGGGUGUAGUGUGUGUGUGUGUGUGUGUGUGUGUGUAGUGUAACGAUGGGUGUAUGUGUGUAGAGAGUGUGUAGUGUGUGUGUGUAUUGUAAAGAUGGGUGUGUGUGUGUGUGUGUGUGUAGUGUAAAGAUGGGUGUAUGUGUGUAGAGUGUGUGUAGUGUGUGUGUGGUGUGGUGUAAAGAUGGGUGUGUGUUUGUGUGUGUGUGUGUGUAGUGUAAAGAUGGGUGUAUGUGUGUAGAGAAUGUGUAGUGUGUGUGUGUAGUGUAAAGAUGGGUGUAGUGUGUGUGUGUGUAGUGUAAAGAUGGGUGUAUGUGUGUAGAGUGUGUGUAGUGUGUGUGUGUGGUGUAAAGAUGGGUGUAUGUGUGUAGAGAGUGUGUAGUGUGUGUGUAGUGUAAAGAUGGGUGUAGUGUGUGUGUGUGUGUAGUGUGAAGAUGGGUAUAUGUGUGUGUGUAGUGUGUGUGUGUGUGGUGUAAAGAUGGGUGUAUGUGUGUAGUGUGUGUGUAGUGUAAAGAUGGGUGUAUGUGUGUAGUGUGUGUAUGUAGGGUGUGUGUGUAGUUUAAAGAUGGGUGUAUGUGUGUAGAGUGUGUGUAGUGUGUGUGUAGUGUGGUGUAAAGAUGGGUGUGUUUGUGUAGUGUAAAGAUGGGUGUAUGUGUGUGUGUAGUGUAACGAUGGGUGUAUGUGUGUAGUGUGUAUGUAGUGUAAAGAUGGGUGUAUGUGUGUAGUGUGUGUAGUGUAAAGAUGGGUGUAUGUGUGUGUGUAGUGUAACGAUGGGUGUAUGUGUGUAGUGUGUGUGUAGUGUAAAGAUGGGUGUAUGUGUGUAGUGUGUGUGUAGUGUAAAGAUGGGUGUAUGUGUGUAGUGUGUGUGUAGUGUAAAGAUGGGUGUAUGUGUGUAGUGUGUGUGUAGUGUAAAGAUGGGUGUAUGUGUGUAGUGUGUGUGUAGUGUAAAGAUGGGUGUGUGUGUGUAGUGUGUGUGUAGUGUAAAGAUGGGUGUAUGUGUGUGUGUAGUGUAACGAUGGGUGUAUGUGUGUAGUGUGUAUGUAGUGUAAAGAUGGGUGUAUGUGUGUAGUGUGUGUAGUGUAAAGAUGGGUGUAUGUGUGUGUGUAGUGUAACGAUGGGUGUAUGUGUGUAGUGUGUGUGUAGUGUAAAGAUGGGUGUAUGUGUGUAGUGUGUGUGUAGUGUAAAGAUGGGUGUAUGUGUGUAGUGUGUGUGUAGUGUAAAGAUGGGUGUAUGUGUGUAGUGUGUGUGUAGUGUAAAGAUGGGUGUAUGUGUGUAGUGUGUGUGUAGUGUAAAGAUGGGUGUGUGUGUGUAGUGUGUGUGUAGUGUAAAGAUGGGUGUGUGUGUGUGUGUGUAGUGUAAAGAUGGGUGUAUGUGUGUGUGUGUGUAGUGUGUGUGUGUGUGUAGUGUAAAGAUGGGUGUAUCUGUGUAGUGUGUGUGUAGUGUAAAGAUGGGUGUGUGUGUAGUGUGUGUGUGUGUGUAGUGUAAAUAUGGGUGUACGUGUGUAAAUGUGUGAAUGUAGUGUAACGAUGGGUGUAUGUGUGUAGAGUUUGUGUAAGUGUGUGUGUGUUUGUGUGUGUAGAGUGUGUGUAGUGUGUGUGUAGUGUGGUGUAAAGAUGUGUGUGUUUGUGUGUGUGUGUGUAGUGUAAAGAUGGGUGUAUGUGUGUAGAGAGUGUGUAGUGUGUGUGUGUGUGUGUAGUGUAAAGAUGGGUGUAGUGUGUGUGUGUGUAGUGUGAAGAUGGGUGUAUGUGUGUGUAGUGUGUGUGUGUGGUGUAAAGAUGGGUGUAUGUGUGUAGUGUGUGUGUGUGUGUAGUGUAAAGAUGGGUGUAUGUGUGUGUGUGUGUAGUGUGUGUGUGUGUGUGUGUAGUGUAAAGAUGGGUGUAUCUGAGUAGUGUGUGUGUGUAGUGUAAAGAUGUGUGUGUGUGUGUGUAGUGUAAAGAUGGGUGUGUGUAGAGUGUGUGUGUAGUGUAAAGAUGGGUGUGUGUGUGUGUAGUGUAAAGAUGGGUGUAUGUGUGUGUGUGUGUGUAGUGUGUGUGUAGUGUAACGAUGGGUGCAUGUGUGUAGUGUGUGUGUAGUGUAAAGAUGGGUGUAUGUGUGUGUGUGUGUGUGUGUGUAGUGUAAAUAUGGGUGUACGUGUGUAAAUGUGUGUAUGUAGUGUAACGAUGGGUGUAUGUGUGUAGAGUUUGUGUAAGUGUGUGUGUGUUUGUGUGUGUGUGUAGUGUAAAGAUGGGUGUAUGUGUGUAGAGUGUGUGUAGUGUGUGUGUGUGUGGUGUGGUGUAAAGAUGGGUGUGUGUGUGUAGAGUGUGUGUAGUGUGUGUGUGGUGUAAAGAUGGGUGUAU
Molecule: long non-coding RNA, 4559 nt
Organism: Astyanax mexicanus (Mexican tetra)
Lineage: Eukaryota; Metazoa; Chordata; Actinopteri; Characiformes; Acestrorhamphidae
Exons: 5
Source: RefSeq, a predicted model, not a curated record